Molecule: ribosomal RNA, 255 nt
Filed under: uncultured bacterium
Lineage: Bacteria
Description: partial 16S ribosomal RNA
Rfam family: Bacterial small subunit ribosomal RNA
Source: RNAcentral
GUAGUGGGGGAUAACGUCCGGAAACGGACGCUAAUACGGCAUACGUCCUACGGGAGAAAGCGGGGGACCUUCGGGCCUUGCGCUAUCAGAUGAGCCUAGGUCGGAUUAGCGUAGUUGGUGGGGUAAUGGCUCACCAAGGCGGCGAUCCGUAACUGGUCUGAGAGGAUGAUCAGUCACACUGGAAAAGAGACACGGUCCACCCUCCUACGGGAGGCAGCAGUGGGGAAUAUUGGACAAUGGGCGAAAGCGGAUCCA